Lycium ferocissimum is the source of this 221-nucleotide long non-coding RNA. RefSeq lists it as uncharacterized. The record is from RefSeq and is a predicted model, not a curated record. NCBI's taxonomy places the organism in Eukaryota, Viridiplantae, Streptophyta, Magnoliopsida, Solanales, Solanaceae. The transcript is spliced from 2 exons.
UUAUCUUGCCAUUCAUCUGCAUUUUUUUUUUUUUUUUGGACAAGCUACUUGUCAUCAAAUGGAAGAUGUGAUUAUAUUUCAAAAUGAAAUUAAAAAAAAUGAAUUACAGCAUACCCAGGUUCUUUAGCGCAUCUUUUUUUCAGGCCAAUAGUCUAGUUGUUCCCUUUAUAGGCAGCGUAACUGGUUUUGUUCUCAAAUUACUAUGUCCCCAGUUUGCUAUG